GAUGAACGCUGGCGGCGUGCCUAAUACAUGCAAGUCGAGCGAACAGACGAGGAGCUUGCUCCUCUGACGUUAGCGGCGGACGGGUGAGUAACACGUGGAUAACCUACCUAUAAGACUGGGAUAACUUCGGGAAACCGGAGCUAAUACCGGAUAAUAUAUUGAACCGCAUGGUGCAAUAGUGAAAGACGGUUUUGCUGUCACUUAUAGAUGGAUCCGCGCCGCAUUAGCUAGUUGGUAAGGUAACGGCUUACCAAGGCAACGAUGCGUAGCCGACCUGAGAGGGUGAUCGGCCACACUGGAACUGAGACACGGUCCAGACUCCUACGGGAGGCAGCAGUAGGGAAUCUUCCACAAUGGGCGAAAGCUUGACGGAGCAACGCCGCGUGAGUGAUGAAGGUCUUCGGAUCGUAAAGCUCUGUUAUUGGGGAAGAACAAAUGUGUAAGUAACUAUGCAUGUCUUGACGGUACCUAAUCAGAAAGCCACGGCUAACUACGUG
Molecule: ribosomal RNA, 497 nt
Filed under: uncultured bacterium
Lineage: Bacteria
Description: partial 16S ribosomal RNA
Rfam family: Bacterial small subunit ribosomal RNA
Source: RNAcentral